This 230-nucleotide ribosomal RNA is filed under the name uncultured bacterium. RNAcentral's name for it is "partial 16S ribosomal RNA". It matches the Rfam family "Bacterial small subunit ribosomal RNA", at positions 15 to 228 of the family's 1533-position model. The record is from RNAcentral.
GAUCAUGGCUCAGGACGAACGCUGGCGGCGUGCUUAACACAUGCAAGUCGAACGAGAAUCUGAUGAAGGAGUUUUCGGACAACGGAUUCAGAGGACAGUGGCGGACGGGUGAGUAACGCGUGAGGAAUCUGCCUUUCAGAGGGGGACAACAGUUGGAAACGACUGCUAAUACCGCAUGACACAUUGAGGUCGCAUGGCCUUGAUGUCAAAGAUUUAUCGCUGAAAGAUGG